Molecule: ribosomal RNA, 303 nt
Filed under: uncultured bacterium
Lineage: Bacteria
Description: partial 16S ribosomal RNA
Rfam family: Bacterial small subunit ribosomal RNA
Source: RNAcentral
AGCAGUCGCCACGGGAAUACGGAGGGAGCUAGCGUUGUUCGGAAUUACUGGGCGUAAAGCGCGCGUAGGCGGUUACUCAAGUCAGAGGUGAAAGCCCGGGGCUCAACCCCGGAACUGCCUUUGAAACUAGGUGACUAGAAUCUUGGAGAGGUCAGUGGAAUUCCAAGUGUAGAGGUGAAAUUCGUAGAUAUUCGGAAGAACACCAGUGGCGAAGGCGACUGACUGGACAAGUAUUGACGCUGAGGUGCGAAAGCGUGGGGAGCAAACAGGAUUAGAUACCCGCGUAGUCCCUGUCUCUUAUAC